UCCGCAGGUCAGAUCUCAGCCACCCAAAG
Molecule: non-coding RNA, 29 nt
Filed under: Mus musculus (house mouse)
Lineage: Eukaryota; Metazoa; Chordata; Mammalia; Rodentia; Muridae
Source: RNAcentral